Hydra vulgaris (swiftwater hydra) is the source of this 957-nucleotide long non-coding RNA. RefSeq lists it as uncharacterized. NCBI's taxonomy places the organism in Eukaryota, Metazoa, Cnidaria, Hydrozoa, Anthoathecata, Hydridae. The record is from RefSeq and is a predicted model, not a curated record.
UUGAAAAUAUAUUGGAGUAUUUUUAGUUUAAAGUUGUAUGCCUUCGUUGAAACUUGGUUGUGUUUGUAUUUCUACUUGAAUCAAGUAGAUAUGAUUAAUAAAGUUUUAAUGGUGUGGUUAGCUAGAUUAUUUUACUCUAAUAAGUAACUUAAUUGUUAAGUAAACUUGAAUGCUUAAAAAAACUAGAUUAAGUUUUUAAUUCUACUUAAUUAUCAACUGCUUUUAACGCAAAAAAAUCUAUUUGGAUUUGAAAAAAGGGAACAACAUUCUCAGACUUUUUCUUCUUUAACUCUAAAAAUUAAAAAUAAUAUCAGUGGUUUUUAAAAAAGGAAUUACUAUAGUUAAAAAAGGCUGAAAGGAAAAAAUAUAAUGAUUUGUUUCAAGAAAGGGAGUGACUUACUUCAAAAUGUCAUUUUAAAAUUUUUAUUCUUUAAUGAUAUUCUGGUGUUAUUACCAAAUGUUUAGCAGUAUGAAACCUAUAAUAUUAUAUACCAUACUAUAUACCCUAUUUUACUUAUAAAGUUAAUAAUCUGUAAAGUAAUUUGUAAAAAUUUUUUAAUUGUAAAAUUGCUACAUGAGAAGACAAGUUGUUAGAUGAAAUUCAAAUAUUCUCUAUGUUUGUGUUGUGUAGGUCAAAAAAUAAUAAACAAAGAUGAUAUUGAUUGUGAUGACCAAGAGAUUCAUUUUAAGACACAUCAAUCUUCAUCAUCUUUAAAUAAAAAGGAUAAACAUUAUGGAUUUCCAUUAUCUCAAGCAAACUUUCAAUAUUAUGUGUUGCUUCUCUUAAAUGAGAUAAAAACCCAAGGAUGCAAAAAACUUAAUAUAAAAUAGUGUGAAGAAGAAGUAGUAACUGAAAUUAACAGCAUAAUAGAAUUUGAUAAGUUUGACUCAGCACUUGACAAUGUUUCAUCUAGUAACUCUGUAGUAUCUCUGCAGUUGUAAAUUGCUAAAUACUGA